Molecule: non-coding RNA, 118 nt
Filed under: Geodermatophilus sp.
Lineage: Bacteria; Bacillati; Actinomycetota; Actinomycetes; Geodermatophilales; Geodermatophilaceae
Also listed under: 1 other name
Description: SAM-IV sequence
Rfam family: SAM (S-adenosyl methionine) riboswitch aptamer
About the family: SAM-IV is a mRNA element that regulates gene expression via direct sensing of S-adenosylmethionine (SAM or AdoMet). SAM-IV riboswitches share conserved nucleotide positions with the previously described SAM-I riboswitches sequence analysis and molecular recognition experiments suggest that SAM-I and SAM-IV riboswitches share similar ligand binding sites, but have different scaffolds.
Source: RNAcentral
GCUCACGAGAGGCAGCGACAAGCACCUGGCUGGCUGCCCGGCAACCGCUACUCCGUCUGCGGUGCUCCAGGGGAAGAGCCGGUGUGGACGGCGCCCGCCGUCCGCGCAACCGACGGAG